This 590-nucleotide ribosomal RNA is filed under the name uncultured Arthrobacter sp. RNAcentral describes it as "bacterial SSU rRNA". It matches the Rfam family "Bacterial small subunit ribosomal RNA", at positions 870 to 1456 of the family's 1533-position model. Lineage: Bacteria; Bacillati; Actinomycetota; Actinomycetes; Micrococcales; Micrococcaceae. The record is from RNAcentral.
CGCCUGGGGAGUACGGCCGCAAGGCUAAAACUCAAAGAAAUUGACGGGGGCCCGCACAAGCGGCGGAGCAUGCGGAUUAAUUCGAUGCAACGCGAAGAACCUUACCAAGGCUUGACAUGAACCGGAAAGGCGUAGAAAUACGUCCCCCACUUGUGGUCGGUUUACAGGUGGUGCAUGGUUGUCGUCAGCUCGUGUCGUGAGAUGUUGGGUUAAGUCCCGCAACGAGCGCAACCCUCGUUCUAUGUUGCCAGCACGUGAUGGUGGGGACUCAUAGGAGACUGCCGGGGUCAACUCGGAGGAAGGUGGGGAUGACGUCAAAUCAUCAUGCCCCUUAUGUCUUGGGCUUCACGCAUGCUACAAUGGCCGGUACGAAGGGUUGCGAUACUGUGAGGUGGAGCUAAUCCCAAAAAGCCGGUCUCAGUUCGGAUUGGGGUCUCCAACUCGCCCCCAUGAAGUCGGAGUCGUUAGUAAUCGCAGAUCAGCAACGCUGCGGUGAAUACGUUCCCGGGCCUUGUACACACCGCCCGUCAAGUCACGAAAGUUGGUAACACCCGAAGCCGGUGGCCUAACCCCUUGUGGGAGGGAGCCGU